UGGGGGAUAUUGCACAAUGGGCGAAAGCCUGAUGCAGCGACGCCGCGUGGGGGAUGAAGGCCUUCGGGUUGUAAACUGCUUUUGCUCUGAACAAGGCAUGCUAAUGGGUGUGUUGAGUGUAGGGGUUGAUUAGCGCCGGCUAACUACGUGCCAGCAGCCGCGGUAAUACGUAGGGCGCGAGCGUUGUCCGGAAUUAUUGGGCGUAAAGGGCUUGUAGGUGGCUGGUUGCGUCUGUCGUGAAAGCUCAUGGCUUAACUGUGGGUUUGCGGGGGGUACGGGCUGGCUUGAGUGCAGUAGGGGAGGCUGGAAUUCCUGGUGUAGCGGUGGAAUGCGCAGAUAUCAGGAGGAAUACCGGUGGCGAAGGCGGGUCUCUGGGCUGUUACUGACACUGAGGAGCGAAAGCAUGGGGAGCGAACAGG
RNAcentral lists this ribosomal RNA (419 nucleotides) under bacterium. RNAcentral describes it as "partial 16S ribosomal RNA". It matches the Rfam family "Bacterial small subunit ribosomal RNA", at positions 355 to 776 of the family's 1533-position model. The record is from RNAcentral.